Molecule: ribosomal RNA, 598 nt
Filed under: uncultured bacterium
Lineage: Bacteria
Description: bacterial SSU rRNA
Rfam family: Bacterial small subunit ribosomal RNA (bases 1-517)
Source: RNAcentral
CCUACGGGAGGCAGCAGUGGGGAACCUUGCGCAAUGGGCGAAAGCCUGACGCAGCAACGCCGCGUGCGGGAAGAAGGCUUUCGGGCUGUAAACCGCUUUCAGCAGGAACGAAAAUGACGGUACCUGCAGAAGAAGGAGCGGCCAACUAUGUGCCAGCAGCCGCGGUGAUACAUAGGCUUCAAGCGUUGUCCGGAUUUAUUGGGCGUAAAGAGUUCGUAGGCGGUCGAGUAAGUCGGGUGUGAAAAUUCUGGGCUCAACCCAGAGACGCCACCCGAUACUGCUUAACUUGAGUUCGAUAGGGGAGUGGGGAAUUCCUAGUGUAGCGGUGAAAUGCGCAGAUAUUAGGAGGAACACCGGUGGCGAAGGCGCCACUCUGGAUCGAUACUGACGCUGAGGAACGAAAGCAUGGGUAGCAAACAGGAUUAGAUACCCUGGUAGUCCAUGCCGUAAACGGUGGGCACUAGGUGUGGGAAUUACUAUACGUACUACGUCGCGUCGCUACGACAUAGUAGCCGCCGUCGGUAGGUACGGUCGCGACGACGUAAACUACAACGAAGUAGUACGCGNGAGACGNGCGACGACGACGACGAGGAGGUAG